AAAACAUUUCUUUAUGAAUAAAAUAAUAAGUAGUCUCUGCCCAAUGAAAAUUUAAUGGCUGCAAUAUUAUAAUUGUACAAAGGUAGCAUAAUAAAUUGUUCUUUAAAUAAGAUCUAGUAUGAAAGAGUUGAUGAAUUAUAAUCUUUAUUUAAAAUAUAAGUUGAAUUUAAUUUUAAAGUAAAAAUUCUUUAAUGAAUUUAUGGGACGAGAAGACCCUAUAGAAUUUUAUUAUUAUAAAUUUAUAUAAAAUUAUAUAAAUUUAAAUUAAUUUAUUUGGGAGGAAUAAUAAAUUUUUAAACUUUAUUUGAUUAUAAACAAAUAUAAUUGGUUUAAAAGAUUUUGAAUAAUUAAAUAAAAGAUUAAAUUACCUUAGGGAUAACAGCAUAAUAUUUUUAGAAAGUUCUUA
RNAcentral lists this ribosomal RNA (406 nucleotides) under Holepyris sp. RNAcentral's name for it is "partial large subunit ribosomal RNA". The record is from RNAcentral. Lineage: Eukaryota; Metazoa; Arthropoda; Insecta; Hymenoptera; Bethylidae.